RNAcentral lists this ribosomal RNA (607 nucleotides) under uncultured Actinobacteridae bacterium. Its description in RNAcentral is "bacterial SSU rRNA". It matches the Rfam family "Bacterial small subunit ribosomal RNA", at positions 252 to 866 of the family's 1533-position model. Lineage: Bacteria; Bacillati; Actinomycetota; Actinomycetes. The record is from RNAcentral.
GUGGGGUAGUGGCCUACCAAGGCGACGACGGGUAGCCGGCCUGAGAGGGUGACCGGCCACACUGGGACUGAGACACGGCCCAGACUCCUACGGGAGGCAGCAGUGGGGAAUCUUGCGCAAUGGGCGAAAGCCUGACGCAGCAACGCCGCGUGGGGGAUGACGGCCUUCGGGUUGUAGACCUCUUUCGACAUCGACGAAGCCUUCGGGUGGCGGUAGGUGUAUAAGAAGCACCGGCUAACUACGUGCCAGCAGCCGCGGUAAUACGUAGGGUGCGAGCGUUGUCCGGAUUUAUUGGGCGUAAAGAGCUCGUAGGCGGUCUGUCGCGUCUAUCGUGAAAACCGGGAGCUUAACUCCUGGCUUGCGGUGGAUACAGGCAGACUUGAGUUCGGUAGGGGAGACUGGAAUUCCUGGUGUAGCGGUGAAAUGCGCAGAUAUCAGGAGGAACACCGGUGGCGAAGGCGGGUCUCUGGGCCGAUACUGACGCUGAGGAGCGAAAGCGUGGGGAGCAAAUAGGAUUAGAUACCCUGGUAGUCCACGCCGUAAACGUUGGGCGCUAGGUGUGGGGAUGGGUUCCACUGUCUCCGUGCCGUAGCUAACGCAUUAAGCG